Molecule: ribosomal RNA, 253 nt
Filed under: uncultured bacterium
Lineage: Bacteria
Description: partial 16S ribosomal RNA
Rfam family: Bacterial small subunit ribosomal RNA
Source: RNAcentral
UACAGAGGGUGCGAGCGUUAAUCGGAAUUACUGGGCGUAAAGCGUGCGUAGACGGCUAUCUAAGUCGGGUGUGAAAGCCCCGGGCUUAACCCGGGAAGUGCAUUUGAAACUGCAGAGCUUGAGUAUGGAAGAGGGUCGUGGAAUUCCAGGUGUAGUGGUGAAAUACGUAGAUAUCUGGAGGAACACCGGUGGCGAAGGCGGCGACCUGGUCCAUAACUGACGCUGAGGCGCGAAAGCUAGGGGAGCAAACAGG